RNAcentral lists this unclassified non-coding RNA (374 nucleotides) under soil metagenome. RNAcentral describes it as "partial contains internal transcribed spacer 2 and large subunit ribosomal RNA". The stretch from base 1 to 120 matches the Rfam family "5.8S ribosomal RNA", at positions 35 to 154 of the family's 154-position model. The record is from RNAcentral.
GAUGAAGAACGUAGUGAAAUGCGAUAAUUAAUGUGAAUUGCAGAAUUCCGUGAAUCAUCGAGUCUUUGAACGCACAUUGCGCCUCAUGGCAUUCCGUGAGGCAUGCCCAUCUCAGCGUUAGAAAAUAUUCUCAAAUUUUAGUUUUGUGCUAAAAUUUGGAUCAUGUCAAGGAAGCUAUUACUAUUAUUGUGAUUGCUCUUUGGAAAUUGAUAGGUCUUUGAGUUGCUACUCAUAGAACGUGAUGAAUCUUUCUUCGUUCUAUUGUAAUUCACUCUGGUAGUCCUAAAAGUUGUAUGCCUGUGGCAUAUCUUGUAAUUUGACCUGAGAUUGGGUAGGGAUACCCGCUGAACUUAAGCAUAUCAAUAAGCGGAGGA